Non-coding RNA from Salvelinus fontinalis (brook trout), 572 nucleotides. Lineage: Eukaryota; Metazoa; Chordata; Actinopteri; Salmoniformes; Salmonidae. The record is from the annotation of a RefSeq genome assembly.
GCCACACUGAUGUGUCUGGCCAACAAGGGCUUCCCUUCAGACUGGACCAUGAGCUGGAAAGUGGACGGGACCAGCCAGAUACAAGAGGCCAGUUCUAGGGUCCUGGAGAAGGAUGGUCUGUACAGCUGGAGCAGCACCCUGACUCUCACUGGCCAGGAGUGGACCAAGGCAGGAGAGGUGACCUGUGAAGCCCAGCAGAAAUCCCAGACUCCAGUCACCAAGGCCUUGAAGAAGGCUGACUGUUCUGGGUAGGAUCCCUCAGUCACACAUCCCUGUGGAGAGAGGCUGCUGGUUCCUCUGCUUUGACUCUGUUCUGAGAUCAGAUGUUCUCUGUCUUAUUGAUCACUGACAUGUAGACUAACAGAGGGCUUUCCUCUCUAAGAGGGCACUGCGCCCGGCCCGCCACAGGAGUUGCUGGUGCGCGAUGAGACAAGGAUAUCCCUACCGGCCAAACCCUCCCUAACCCGGACGAUGCUAGGCCAAUUGUGCGUCGCCCCACGGACCUCCCGGUCGCGGCCGGCUGCGACAGAGCCUGGGCGCGAACCCAGAGUCUCUGGUGGCACAGCUAGCGC